GACACUUCUAACUAGGCAGGUGAGAUGUCCGUAUACUAAAAGGCACUUUGUGGUUGGCACAGUGAUGAUUCGAUCCUAGAAUGAGAAUUAUUUUCCCACCAUGUUCUCAUAAGGAGAUGUCUGUUGAUGCAGAAAGGCAGAACCGAGCAACUAGAGGACAUAUUCAAAAAGCUACCUGGCGCCCAAGUGUGAAAGAAUGGUGUACUGGAGAGGUACUUCUGCUACCCUGGUGAGAGGGCCCGACCUAAACGUCUGAUGUUAUUGGAGCCUAUAGAUCAGUUUCUGGCCACAUUAAUGAGACUGAAUGUUGAAUUGAUUCUAAGUCGCACCAAUUUCCACCUCACUUUCCAUGUCAGGAGCUUCGUCGGGGAUAUUCCACAUCUGAGCCAUGUCUAAAACAUGAAAAUCCAUGAAUUAUCAAUUUUGUGUGCAUAUGUUUUGCACUUUAAAUGAUUAAAAGUGUUUGUCAUUAAAUAGUUGUUAAGCGACAUUUAAUAAUCAUUGUAUUGACUUUUUUAUGUCAAUGAUGCUGGUUGAAAUUCAAACAAUGGAUACCAAUUUUGGAAACAAUUCUUUCAGUAGCUUUACCUGCUGCAUGGAGCUGGUCAGGUCAAAAGAUCUUUGAUCAGGAUGAAGUAGAUUAAAGUUGAUUUUCCCCUUCCUGAACUCCACCUCCCAUUCCUCACUCAGUCUGGUCAAAGCUUCUAUCAUUCAUAUAAGCAGAAGCCAAAAUUCCAUUCUUUGAGGAGUUGAAAAUGGAACUAUUUUUGCAUGUCAUUCGGGCCUCGAGAAAAAUUGGUAUCCUUCAAUAAUUCAAUUAAUUCCCCAUUCAUGACACUCCUACUUUGGUUCUAACCUAAAUGUAGAACUCUUUUUUAAAUUCAUUUCUCAAUUAAUCUAAUUUUGACAUCAAAACUAAACCAUGAUGUUCAUUACUGUACAAAUAAGAAAAGGGAGAUCACUCUAAUUUGAAAAAUGACGCAAACGUCUGCUAAAUAUGGAGAUUUUACAGUAAAAUCAAAAAUGGAAGAAAAAUCCCGAGAACUUGGAUACUUGGAAGAAGUUGACCUACAAAUUUUCGAUAGUGAGAUAGAAGAUCCUUUCCCUGGUAUUGGUGACGUAGGCGCGUUUUUCAAUUAUUUAAAAAGCUGAUUGAAAAAGUGGGAGUGGGGUGUUAACCCCAGAAAAGCAAAUUCUCAAAAUACUAUGAUUGAGGGCCCAAAGCGAUUCAAAAACAAUUGACGUCACUAUAGACGAUCUACCGGGUGGGAACAUUUUUCAGCACGGACUGAGGAUUUUUGCGCUUGCGUUGAAAUUUUAUUUUGUGGGGUGGUUUUCUUUGGAUUGAAUGUAUUUUAUAUAUGU
Long non-coding RNA from Ostrea edulis (European flat oyster), 1365 nucleotides. RefSeq lists it as uncharacterized. The record is from RefSeq and is a predicted model, not a curated record. The transcript has 4 exons. Lineage: Eukaryota; Metazoa; Mollusca; Bivalvia; Ostreida; Ostreidae.